UACGGGGGGAGCAAGCGUUGUUCGGAUUUACUGGGCGUAAAGGGCGCGUAGGCGGUCAGCACAAGUCAGUUGUGAAAUCUCCGGGCUUAACUCGGAAAGGUCAACUGAUACUGUGCGACUAGAGUGCAGAAGGGGCAACUGGAAUUCUCGGUGUAGCGGUGAAAUGCGUAGAUAUCGAGAGGAACACCUGCGGCGAAGGCGGGUUGCUGGGCCGACACUGACGCUGACAGCGCGAAAGCUAGGGGAGCGAACGGG
This 255-nucleotide ribosomal RNA is filed under the name uncultured bacterium. RNAcentral's name for it is "partial 16S ribosomal RNA". It matches the Rfam family "Bacterial small subunit ribosomal RNA", at positions 524 to 776 of the family's 1533-position model. The record is from RNAcentral.